This 379-nucleotide long non-coding RNA is filed under the name Manacus vitellinus (golden-collared manakin). RNAcentral describes it as "lncRNA (ENSMVIG00005007274.1)". Lineage: Eukaryota; Metazoa; Chordata; Aves; Passeriformes; Pipridae. The record is from RNAcentral.
UCAUAAUCUCACAGUAUCCUUCAUGUUCAACCUGUUUCAGAACUUCUUACCAUUGUCGACCAGAACAGCGGUAGACCUGGCCACCGCAGAGAGCAAAGCCAACACAAAGGCCUGAGCAAAUAGCCAAAGCAACUGAAUGUCAAGAUGAUGUCUAUAUUUCAUGUGCAUUAAGUGAAUGGGGAAAGUUUCUCUGUGGAUACCUCUUCUGCUUUUUAAUAAAUUCUUUCUUUUGCCUGAAGAGAAUUAGAAGCUGGCUUUUGACCUCCAUUAAUUUUUUUAAUUUAAUAGUUCUCUGCAUGCAUUAAUAAAUAUUAUUAACCAUACUUUGUACUGCAAUGUUUCCAUUUCCUCUUCCCCCGAUGCUUUCUCAUUUGCUGCA